UUUCCGGAAAGAGCCGAACAUCCUCCCGCGGGACUGGCGGGCAGAGGGUGCCACGAGAUAGCCGAGCAUUUCCGGAAACAGCCGAGCGCAAUCGCGUCAGCUAAGCGUUUCCCUAAGCUCGGCGGGGCCCGGCUGGGCUUCGAGAUGACCUAGUGAUUCCGGAAAUCGCCGAGCGUGUCCCCCCGCGGGACUGGUGGAACCGAGCCUGAGCCCCGAGACUGCAGUUUCUGCAAAGAACCGAGCGUGCGCUCGGACCCAGAGGGAGGCCCUGUGAGUCGAGAGCCAGGGAUGGACCACCAGUUUCCGGAACUGAUGGAUGGGUCCUAAGGGCGCGAGGCGGCCCCGAGCUCAGGGAGCAGGAGGCGGUGGGGUGGGAAGGGAGCUCGCCACAGGAAUCUGAGCUUUUCAGGAAAGAGCCAAAUAAGCUGGGAUUGAAAGCGUUUCCAUGGCAGCCCAGAGCGUCCGGAAACAGCUGAACUAUUUGCAGCUCAGCGAGCGCGGGAACACGCCCAACGAGGACCCAGAGACGGACGAUUGUUUCCGGAAUAGCCGAAGACACUCGGAAGCGUGGCUCGGGGCUUCUGGUACUGCCCAGAAGUAACCCAAAAACACGGAGUUGGGCUCGGGGCCCCAGAUCGGUGUCCGGAUGCAGCUUUUAAGAGCAGAGCCUAUGAUGGGUACUCGGGGAGAGGGCAGGAGGAGGCCAGGGACCCGAGAAGACAUCAGGGAGAAUCUCACUGGCGAACUCCUGUGCCACCUUCAAAACCCCUUCAAAGGAAGUCGGUUUUCACCCUGUCCCCGCCACACUCUCUCCCCUUACCCCUUUCUUUGCCCUUCACAAAUCCAGACGUUGGGCCUCCUCUUUGUAAA
This is a long non-coding RNA of Neofelis nebulosa (Clouded leopard), 870 nucleotides long. RefSeq lists it as uncharacterized. NCBI's taxonomy places the organism in Eukaryota, Metazoa, Chordata, Mammalia, Carnivora, Felidae. The transcript is spliced from 2 exons. The record is from RefSeq and is a predicted model, not a curated record.